GCUCCCAGGCAUACUAUUGGGAGCUGGAGAAGCCAUAAGAAGAACCGAGAAACAAAGCACACCUAUAUUCCGUAGGCAGGGGAUGGAGAGGGAGCUUUAGAUGAUUCCAAAACUCGACAUGCAGACAUGUCGAGAAGGUGGAAAACCAACAAACAGAGGCAAGAACGAGGAAAAGAACAAGAGCUAGUACAUGCAGAACGCCGAUGGAACCAAGACG
Molecule: long non-coding RNA, 217 nt
Filed under: Eucalyptus grandis
Lineage: Eukaryota; Viridiplantae; Streptophyta; Magnoliopsida; Myrtales; Myrtaceae
Description: long non-coding RNA (EGRA_LNC001395)
Source: RNAcentral